Molecule: ribosomal RNA, 253 nt
Filed under: uncultured bacterium
Lineage: Bacteria
Description: partial 16S ribosomal RNA
Rfam family: Bacterial small subunit ribosomal RNA
Source: RNAcentral
UACGUAGGGUGCAAGCGUUGUCCGGAAUUAUUGGGCGUAAAGAGCUCGUAGGCGGUCUGUCACGUCGGCUGUGAUAACCCGAGGCUCAACCUCGGGCCUGCAGUCGAUACGGGCAGACUAGAGUUCGGUAGGGGAGACUGGAAUUCCUGGUGUAGCGGUGAAAUGCGCAGAUAUCAGGAGGAACACCGGUGGCGAAGGCGGGUCUCUGGGCCGAAACUGACGCUGAGGAGCGAAAGCGUGGGGAGCGAACAGG